RNAcentral lists this ribosomal RNA (395 nucleotides) under uncultured bacterium. Its description in RNAcentral is "bacterial SSU rRNA". It matches the Rfam family "Bacterial small subunit ribosomal RNA", at positions 366 to 758 of the family's 1533-position model. The record is from RNAcentral.
UGGCGUGGGCGCAAGCCUGACCGCCUGCCGCGUGAGUGAAGAAGGCCUUCGGGUUGUAAAGCUCUUUUGUCAGGGAAGAAACACCGGCUCUAACACAGUCCGGGAAUGACGGUACCUGAAGAAUAAGCACCGGCUAACUACGUGCCAGCAGCCGCGGUAAUACGUAGGGUGCAAGCGUUAAUCGGAAUUACUGGGCGUAAAGCGUGCGCAGGCGGUUAUACAAGACAGGCGUGAAAUCCCCGGGCUUAACCUGGGAAUGGCGCCUGUGACUGUAUAGCUAGAGUGUGUCAGAGGGGGGUAGAAUUCCACGUGUAGCAGUGAAAUGCGUAGAUAUGUGGAGGAAUACCAAUGGCGAAGGCAGCCCCCUGGGAUAACACUGACGCUCAUGCACGAAA